RNAcentral lists this transfer RNA (72 nucleotides) under Bos taurus (domestic cattle). It matches the Rfam family "tRNA". Rfam says of the family: Transfer RNA (tRNA) molecules are approximately 80 nucleotides in length. The record is from Rfam by way of RNAcentral. RNAcentral also lists the same sequence under 5 other names. Lineage: Eukaryota; Metazoa; Chordata; Mammalia; Artiodactyla; Bovidae.
UCCCUGGUAGCUCAGUUGGUAAAGAAUCUGCCUGCAGUGCAGAAGACCCAGGUUCAAUCCCUGGAUUGGGAA